UACGUAGGGGGCAAGCGUUGUCCGGAUUUAUUGGGCGUAAAGGGCGUGUAGGUGGUUUCGUAAGUCUGGCGUGAAAUUUCUCGGCUUAACCGAGGCAGGUCGUCGGAUACUGCGGAACUUGAGGACGGUAGAGGCGUGUGGAAUUCCGGGUGUAGUGGUGAAAUGCGUAGAGAUCCGGAGGAACACCAGUGGCGAAGGCGACACGCUGGGCCGUACCUGACACUGAUGCGCGACAGCAUGGGGAGCAAACAGG
Molecule: ribosomal RNA, 253 nt
Filed under: uncultured bacterium
Lineage: Bacteria
Description: partial 16S ribosomal RNA
Rfam family: Bacterial small subunit ribosomal RNA
Source: RNAcentral